Phascolarctos cinereus (koala) is the source of this 1838-nucleotide non-coding RNA. Lineage: Eukaryota; Metazoa; Chordata; Mammalia; Diprotodontia; Phascolarctidae. The record is from RefSeq and is a predicted model, not a curated record.
CUCGCUCUCUGGAGCUGUGAUCUUCUGGCUCAGACACAGGCAUGAAGGAGAGGCUCAGGUUACAGGUGAAGAAAUGGGACUUUCCAGUCUUGACUUUUUUUUGGGGAUAGAUCAUUCCAAAGGGCACUGAAAGCUCACUUCAACAAAAGAUGGCGGUUCACACCUAUAAUCCCUGCUGUUGGAAGCUGAGGCUGGAGGAUCUUUUGAGCUUGGACAUUGUGAGCUGCAGUGGGCUAUGCCAAUCAGAGGCAUCAGUUUUAUGUUUGGCAUUAAUAUGAGGAUUGUCUUGAGUAUAGCACAGUGUCCGCCUCAUCCUAUCUAGGAACUGUAAUCACUGCCUUAUAAGCACAUGGGAUAAGCUCGUCCCUGUAGCCAGAAGGAGAAGGAUCUUGAGAAUGGACUCUACCAGCCCCAGAAGUGGUAGCAGCCAGGGCCAUGAGAAAUUGCCCUGAAAUUGCCAAUGAGAAUACUCCCUGAAGAAGGAGCAGAGGAGGAGAGCUGUGGCUUGGGGAAGCAAGGGAUUGCACCUCUGUUCUAGACACUUGUUGCUAUCGCGUGAAAAGGAAUCUUUCUCAUUUGGGACUGAAGUAGAGAAGGUUGUUCAGUUGUACUUGAAAUCCAAGACCUCUCCUCUCAUACCACAUGGGGCAGGUAUAUACGGCUGGGCUUCAUCUUGAGGUAACACUGGCUAUUCCCAGGGGGAGGAGAGAAAUCUUCUUUCCUCUUUCCACUGGACUCCCAGAGAAAGGCAUAAGAGAACCAAGAGCAGGUAACAAGUGGUGCAUAUGACAGCAUGCCAUGGUCAUGUGAAAAUUGUGUCAGGAACGUAACGCUCAAGCUGAGGACACAGCAACCUGAGCAAAGCAAAAACAACAACAAGCCAUGGCAGAACUUGAAAUAAAAGGUAAAACAAAGGUUUUUUUUUUUUGGUUCAAUGGAAGCAGCCAUUGACUGCUUAGGGGAGUGCCUCUGUCACUCGCCUCCAAAUCUGGCUGGCAUCUCCUCAGUGCAGCUGUGCAACCUGAUGGGGAUAGUGGGGGUGUGUAGAGCUUCCUGGCAACACACUCAGGUUAGGGAGUAGGAGUCGUGAUCCUCUGUUGCCACCAGAUCUCCACCCUUUAUAACUUUCCCUCCCAGGGCUGGCUUUCUCUCAAGUUUCUCCUUUCUCAUACAGACCCAGGCAUGCUCAGGAUCAGGUCAUGUACUGAACCCAAAGAUAGAGGUGAGCUCAGAAAAUGACAAGGCAAGUUGAAUGGGCUACACCAAUGUCUAACACUUUGGAAGAACUUGGAUCUGUGACCUCACUGCUGCAUGUGCUUUUUCCAGCAAUACCCCCAGGCUAGCCCAUGGAGCGCAUCUCUUACUUGUGUCUUCCUGUUGUGGCUAAUGUUACAUCGAUAAUUGUUCAUUUGCCAGAUAAGAGAGACUGCUUGCUAGGCUAGGCACACUGGUUGUGUCUAUUUCCAUACUUGACUGAGCUGUUCAGAAGGGCAUGUUGUCCAUUGGAAAGUGCACCCUGAAGGAGGUUCUGCAUUUUGGGCUGAAGAAGGAAAUGGCUUGGGAAGAAGGACAGCCGUAAUCACUGAACUCAGCCUGAAAGCACAGAUGUGGGUGCCAGGGCAGCUGUGACUCCAGGGGGGGGAUUGUCUUUGAGAGGGGUAUGCCUCUCACAAGCACACUACAGUUUUACAGUGAAGUCCCACCCUCUGGCUGACCCCCGGUGUAGGUGAGUGUGAAGCUUGCUACUCUACUCUCGAAGACCUACAACUACAUCGACAACUGCAUUGAUACUGGGCUCAGAUGAAAUUCAGAAACCUCUGCAUCAGGAUCAAAAAGAA